UCCGUGAACACUACACGGAAUUCUGAGAUCAGGUUGCUCUGUUCCUUACCCUCAUCCAGAAAGGACGAACAGGACGCGACGGCAGCGUAUAGGCAAACAAAUUCCAUCAUAUUUCUAUCAUGGCGCCGAAAAAGCGUGGAAUACAGCGAUACAAAAUCAUUAUGCAUUAGACGUAAAUAGAUUAAAACAGCGACCAGUAACACUGCUCUUUCUGAGUCCAUCAUUUGUGCUGUCCAGUGGGGUAUGUGAAUAAUGGCAGUGAAAAAAUUAACCACAAUUCUUAGCGAAUAAUAAGAAUAAUGGAAAUUGCAUGUAAACGGAGUAAGAGCUUUGCUCUUGACAUGUAAACAUCAAAAUGCGAUUAAGUCCUUACUCUGAUUAUUGGAAAUAAUCGCAAUAUUAGUGCGCAUGUAAACGCAGUCAAUGAAGUAAAAUAAAAUAUGAAUAGAGAUGGGAGGACUAUCAUCCGUGUAUGAAUGAAAACAGUAGGUGGCUGGCGGUAUGUGCCUAUGGCGCAGAUUCUGCGGAAUACGUCAAAAUCAUAUUCAUUUGAAUGAAGUAAAACAAAUGAUAAAUUUAAUACUAGGAUGCAGUUCAUUUUAACACUUAGAAAUUGUGACAUUUCAGACCAAAACAAAAUUGAACAGGGACAUUAAAAAAAUAAAUGCAUGCACAAUAGACUCUUUUUUUUACAAUUACAGAAAGAGCAGUUGUAAUCUCCAGAUGAAAAUGCUCUAUAAUGUUUCUUUAACAGGAAAUAUUCUGUGAGCAAUUUUAAAGGACACUUCUUUUGUUUUAUUUGUAACGCAAUACCAACUAAGAACUCCCUAAAAAUGUUCCCACUCAAAUGAAGGAAACAUAUUAACUGAAAAACAAAUUUAGAUGGAGGAGAAGAGAUAUUAACAAAAAGGGACAUAAUCAACUGGUUACUGCAGAAAUACUUUACAGAAAUAGAAAAUAUUUAUUAUUGAUCUGUUUUUGCAAUUAGGAAAAUGUUAUAUUCAUCAAACUAAAUGGAGUAACUUAAAACCCAAUUUUGCUCAUUUUCAAACAGCCUUUAAAGCUUAUUUAGAAUCUAUAAAGUCUUUAAAAAAUCGUAAAGCCCAAAGGACCGUGUCUCUGCAGUCUGCACUGUAAAACCUAACAGUGAAAUUCGCUAAAUGAAAUGAGUUCAUUUAACUCAAAAAAUUUUAAAAAGUUAAUUCAACUCAAUAUAUAUUUGUGAUGUGAACUCAAAAGCUAAUUAGGUUAAGCAGAACUCAAUCUAAAUAAGUUACUAUAAAUUAUUUUAAUCUAUUAUUACAAUACAGUCUAUGAUUAUUACAUCUAAAUGGCAGACCAGAAAAUAUUUAAAAGAAAUAUGAGCUUAAUUCAUUAUAUCCAACAUUGUUUUUCGAGAAGUCACGUUUGUACAACAUAGGGCUAUAGGUUAUUAUGCUUUAUAUCUACUAACUAAACUAAACCAUAUAAUACCUUUCAUAACUAAUGAAAUAACUAAGCCAUAAUAUAAUAAAUACAUAAAUCUAUUUCAUAUUAAGCAUAGAUUAAUCCUUUUAAAGUAAUUUAUUCGAGACAAAAUAUUAUCCGGGUGUUUUUCAAAAACCGCGCGCAGACAAUCACGUCCGCUCGCGGCUCAUCCAGGCUGCAGCCUGCAGCUCACUUACCGGAUCACAGCCGUGCGGCUCGCGACGCGGUCACGGAAAAUAACAGCCGGACACAGACAAACCCGCAAAUUAUAUUUUUAAACCAGAGAGACAGCCGACAGACCAUCUUCCUCAUCUCUAACCGUCACUCGCGCCACAGAUCUGAAGCGAGUGCAAAGGCAGCGAGGAGGGGUGGUGUUAUGUCAUUGGCAACAGGACGGCUGCAAAACUAAUAUGAGCCUAAAAUGAAGAACAAUAAUGACAUCAGUCAUUCAAGCUAGGAUCCUGGCAGAUCUACUACUAUCUGAAAAUAAGACACACAAGAAAAAGGGAGCCUGAUCAGGUACAAAAGGCAGCUGUCUCCAUCUUUGCUGUUAAGGAGGAAGAGGGAACAUUGUCUUUAAACCCAUUGGAUGUUUUGAUUGUAUUUGAAGAUGAUGACUGCCAAGUCUUGGGUCAGUGUACUGGUGCUUUUUUUUGGAACUAAAGUAUUACAGUAUACUAACUACUUAAAGUUUAUAUAUAAGUGCUGUUAAUCUUGAGGAAAGUGUUUUUAAUUUUUUUACAGAAAAAUUAUCCACUGUGUUUCAUAUUAUUUAGCAGUUAUUUAUUAUUAUUAUUAUUAAUUAUAUUUAACAUUUAAGAUGGAUUUUGUUAAACAUUUCCUUGUUUGUGUGGUCGUUACUUAUUUGGUAAAGUCUGAUAAGAUACCUUAAAUGUUAUAUUUUUGAAUAUAAAGCCCACUGAUUUUGUUUUAUGCUUGAAAACAUUUGUUGUAUUUCAAUAAAUACUUGAGGAAACACUCCUGUUCUGUCAUGAUUUCUUUGUACCAGUGUUUUUGCUUCUUAUGUAACUUUAUUGCUUUGAGUUUGAUGAACUUAAACCAUUUAAGGCAAUCGGUUUCCUCAAACCAUUUAAGUAGCAAAGUGGUUAAUUUUAAGUUGUAAAGACUUAGUCAGUUUGAGUUCAGGUAACAUUCUAACUGAGUGGAAUAAACUUAAAAUGUUCCAAGUUCAGUUUACUCUAAUAAUUGACUAAGCCAACACUAAAAAAUAAGUUAAUUUAACUCGAUGUAAAUGAGUUAUGGUACUCAUAUUUAUUAGUUUUAAAACUUAAAUGGUUUAAGGCAAUCGGUUUCCUCAAACGGUUUGAGUUACCAUAACUUGUCCGGUUUUACAGUGCUAAAUGAAUUUAAAAUAUGCUUGUGAUGCCCUUUUUAUUUUUAUUUUUUCCUCCCUAGUUGUAUUUUAUUUUGUAUAAUUUUUAAAAUAAUUUGUGUUAUUUUUAUUUUAUUAAAAUUGUCUAAAUUUGUAUUUACAAAAUGUGUAAAUAUGAGAAAUAUGUGAAGAAUUUGCUGUUGAAUUUUGUCAUUUUGAAAGUAAAAACAAAACAAAAAUAAAAUAAUAAAAAAACGCCAAAAUCCCGAAGAAGAAGAGGGAGUUAGCAAUAGCAAGCAGCAGCCAGCAUGGCUCACCUUCUGAACACAUUGUGCUGUAUCCUGGUUGUAGUGGUGUAUAGUCUAGUUUUUAUUAGUGAGUAUACUGUGAUUUUUUUUUUCCCUCCCUCACCCGUCCCAAAGCGACACCCCAUAAGCACCACUCACUAAUGUGUACAGUAUGCAUCUACAUGUAACUGACAGCAUUCCGAAAGACUGCUUAUGCAAUAUCAACAUGUCAAUUUAUUAUAAGCAACAAAUGACAU
This is a long non-coding RNA of Onychostoma macrolepis, 3344 nucleotides long. RefSeq lists it as uncharacterized. The record is from RefSeq and is a predicted model, not a curated record. The transcript has 5 exons. NCBI's taxonomy places the organism in Eukaryota, Metazoa, Chordata, Actinopteri, Cypriniformes, Cyprinidae.